RNAcentral lists this unclassified non-coding RNA (424 nucleotides) under Hevea brasiliensis (rubber tree). Lineage: Eukaryota; Viridiplantae; Streptophyta; Magnoliopsida; Malpighiales; Euphorbiaceae. The record is from RNAcentral.
GGAAGAUAUCUUCCAACUAAUUGACUUUCCAUAAGAAAGAUGGAGAAAUAAUUUGGACGCAUCAAAUCAAAACGAGAGGGACGAGGGGACAUAGAGAAAGCUAGAAUUAGAUCAAAGAUCAAGAUUUCAAGUAGUAUGUAAAUAUGUGUUAUGGGUAGGUGGGACAGUGGAGGUACCAGUGGUACGAUCUGGAUUUUGUGAUUGGGUUGCCGCCAUGAAUCACAGGAGGAUCUCUUCAAAACUGCCACCAGAAUCUAAGCUAGAGUCACACAACAGUAUCUAUGUAAAUACAUAGAUCUGAUAGUAUAUCUGUGUAUAUAUUUACACCGUUUGGAAAUCUGGAAAAGGGAGAGAAAGAAAAUAAGCUGUGUAAAAUAAAAGUGAAAUUGUGACUUUUUUUGGGUUUUGAGAAGCCAAGGGAAAA